RNAcentral lists this ribosomal RNA (487 nucleotides) under uncultured eukaryote. RNAcentral's name for it is "bacterial SSU rRNA". It matches the Rfam family "Eukaryotic small subunit ribosomal RNA", at positions 74 to 550 of the family's 1831-position model. The record is from RNAcentral.
UUAUUCAGUGAAUCUGCGGAUGGCUCAUUAAAACAGUUUGAAUCUAUUCGAUGGAUGUGCGAGAGUACUACAUGGAUACCCGUAGUAAUUCUAGAGCUAAUACAUGCAAGAACGCCCGACCUCACGGAAGGGUUGUAUUUAUUGGAUACCAAAACCAAACCGUACUUUCGGGUGCGGUUGCGUUUGUUGAUUCACAAUAACUGAUCGGACCGCUUCCCAGGAAGCGGUAGGUCGUUCGACAUUCUGCCCUAUCAGCUUUCGAUGGUAAUGUAGUGGAUUACCAUGGCCAUAACGGGUAACGGAGAAUCAGGGUUCGAUUCCGGAGAAGGAGCUUGAGAAUUGGCUACUACAUCUAAGGAAGGCAGCAGGCGCGCAAAUUACCCAAUCCUGACUCAGGGAGGUAGUGACAAAAAAUAACAAUACCGGCUCUUUUUGGGGCUGGUAAUUGGAAUGAGAACGAGUUAAACUUUCUAUCGAGGAUCCAUUG